CCCUUAGAUGUUCUGGGCCGCACGCGCGCUACACUGACUACUUCAACGAGUUGUUUCCUUGAUCGAAAGGUCUGGGUAAUCUUUGAACGCUGUUCGUGAUUGGGAUAGACCUUUGCAAUUAUGGGUCUUCAACGAGGAAUUCCUAGUAAACGCAAGUCAUCAGCUUGCAUUGAUUACGUCCCUGCCCUUUGUACACACCGCCCGUCGCACCUACCGAUUGAAUGGUCCGGUGAAAUCUCGGGACGGCGGCUUGGUCGCUUGCGUCCGACUGCUGAAACUUGAUUAAACCAUAUCAUUUAGAGGAAGGUGAAGUCGUAACA
Molecule: ribosomal RNA, 320 nt
Filed under: uncultured eukaryote
Lineage: Eukaryota
Description: partial 18S ribosomal RNA
Rfam family: Eukaryotic small subunit ribosomal RNA
Source: RNAcentral